AUGUUAUUACUAGUCUGUUGGUUUCUCAUGUCAAAUCUUUCAGGUAGAUAUGGAUAUAGAAGAUGGAGAUGCUGCAGGUACCUUAUCUGGAUCAGAAGAAAGGAGUCAGAUCACAGUGCCUCUAAGAGAUUUUUCACCUGAUGGAACAUUUUGCAAAACGAAAUAAGAUGGUUCUUACUCUUAAAUAUACAGAGUGCUGCGAAGGGAAAUAACAAGAUUUGGACCUGAUCAAUUUUUCUGACAAAUCCUACAUACAUGAUCCGGGCUAUUCCAAGCAAUGCAGCUGACAAUGUGUAUUGUACACUCAUUGCUCAGAGUGCUGUUCAUGGAGCUAUGGCCGGGUACACAGGCUACACAAGUGGGCUUGUUAAUGGCAGACAAACUUAUAUUCCUUUCUAUGUAAGUUCUUCCGGAUCCUAUAGUUAGUUCUAUGAUUGCACUCUGUUAAUAAUAAGGGGUAUUGUCUGUGAAGCUCUUGUAUUUACUCGGAGAAGAGUAGGAAAGAAGUAAAGGGUAUGGUAUGGAAUCCAACUCCGAACAUAAUUGUAAUCCCAGAUUAAUGCUGUUUGUUACGAAGUAAUAAUGCCCAAUCAGAAAUGGAUAGCUAAUUUGUAUUAAUAUUAUUAUUAUUAUUUUUUAUUUUAUCAAAUCUUAAUUGCCAAAAGACGACAACUACAAUUUUAUUGAUGUCAAUUUGUGAACUUCCUGUGAGCCAAUUUGUUUUGAUUUAUGAAACAUUGAGCCCACUUGAAAGGAUCAGAUGCUUUCUGGUUAUUUGAAUCUGUUGUAGCCUCCCUUCCUUAAUAGUCACAAGAAUGCGCUUAGACUUCUAUCA
Molecule: non-coding RNA, 835 nt
Organism: Camellia sinensis
Lineage: Eukaryota; Viridiplantae; Streptophyta; Magnoliopsida; Ericales; Theaceae
Source: RefSeq, a predicted model, not a curated record